RNAcentral lists this ribosomal RNA (391 nucleotides) under uncultured bacterium. RNAcentral describes it as "bacterial SSU rRNA". It matches the Rfam family "Bacterial small subunit ribosomal RNA", at positions 28 to 419 of the family's 1533-position model. The record is from RNAcentral.
GACGAACGCUGGCGGCGUGCUUAACACAUGCAAGUCGAACGGUGACGAGGAGCUUGCUCCUCUGAUCAGUGGCGAACGGGUGAGUAACACGUGAGCAACCUGCCCCAGACUCUGGGAUAACAGUUGGAAACAGCUGCUAAUACCGGAUACGAGGCGGAGAAGCAUCUCUACCGUCUGGAAAGUUUUUCGGUCUGGGAUGGACUCGCGGCCUAUCAGCUAGUUGGUGAGGUAAUGGCUCACCAAGGCGACGACGGGUAGCCGGCCUGAGAGGGCGACCGGCCACACUGGGACUGAGACACGGCCCAGACUCCUACGGGAGGCAGCAGUGGGGAAUAUUGCACAAUGGGCGAAAGCCUGAUGCAGCGACGCCGCGUGAGGGAUGAAGGCCUUC